Molecule: ribosomal RNA, 253 nt
Filed under: uncultured bacterium
Lineage: Bacteria
Description: partial 16S ribosomal RNA
Rfam family: Bacterial small subunit ribosomal RNA
Source: RNAcentral
UACGGAGGGUGCAAGCGUUAUCCGGAUUCACUGGGUUUAAAGGGUGCGUAGGCGGCCAUGUAAGUCAGGAGUGAAAGUUUGCGGCUCAACCGUAAAAUUGCUUUUGAUACUGCAUGGCUGGAAUUAGGAUGAGGUCAGCGGAAUGUGGCAUGUAGCGGUGAAAUGCAUAGAUAUGCCAUAGAACACCAGUUGCGAAGGCAGCUGGCUAGACCUGGAUUGACGCUGAGGCACGAAAGCGUGGGGAGCGAACAGG